RNAcentral lists this ribosomal RNA (393 nucleotides) under uncultured bacterium. RNAcentral describes it as "bacterial SSU rRNA". It matches the Rfam family "Bacterial small subunit ribosomal RNA", at positions 505 to 898 of the family's 1533-position model. The record is from RNAcentral.
GUGCCAGCCGCCGCGGUAAUACGAAGGGGGCUAGCGUUGCUCGGAAUUACUGGGCGUAAAGGGCGCGUAGGCGGAUAUCUAAGUUGGGGGUGAAAUCCCGGGGCUCAACCUCGGAAUUGCCUUCAAAACUGGGUAUCUUGAGUUCGGGAGAGGUGAGUGGAACUCCGAGUGUAGAGGUGAAAUUCGUAGAUAUUCGGAAGAACACCAGUGGCGAAGGCGACUCACUGGCCCGAUACUGACGCUGAGGCGCGAAAGCGUGGGGAGCAAACAGGAUUAGAUACCCUGGUAGUCCACGCUGUAAACGAUGAGUGCUAGUUGUCGGCAUGCAUGCAUGUCGGUGACGCAGCUAACGCAUUAAGCACUCCGCCUGGGGAGUACGGUCGCAAGAUUAAA